Molecule: ribosomal RNA, 257 nt
Filed under: uncultured bacterium
Lineage: Bacteria
Description: partial 16S ribosomal RNA
Rfam family: Bacterial small subunit ribosomal RNA
Source: RNAcentral
UACGAAGGGGGCUAGCGUUGCUCGGAAUCACUGGGACGGUAAAGGGCGCGUAGGUCGGAGUCUUUAAAGUCGGGGGUGAAAGCCUGACGGCUCAACCUCAGAAUUACCUUCGAUACUGGAGAUCUUGAGACCGGAAGAGGUAAGUGGAACUGCGAGUGUAGAGGUGAAAUUCGUAGAUAUUCGCAAGAACACCAGUGGCGAAGGCGGCUUACUGGUCCGGUUCUGACGCUGAGGCGCGAAAGCGUGGGAGCAACAGG